RNAcentral lists this ribosomal RNA (458 nucleotides) under uncultured bacterium. RNAcentral describes it as "bacterial SSU rRNA". It matches the Rfam family "Bacterial small subunit ribosomal RNA", at positions 28 to 507 of the family's 1533-position model. The record is from RNAcentral.
GACUAACGCUGGCGGUAUGCCUUAGACAUGCAAGUCGAACGAGUUUCCGGGCUUGCUUGGAAGCUAGUGGCGAACGGCUGAGUAACGCGUAGGUGACCUACCCCGUAGUGUGGAAUAACUGCCCGAAAGGGUAGCUAAUACCGCAUGUUGAGCCGACUUCACUGUUGUCUCCAAAGCAGAAAUGCGCUAUGGGCGGGGCCUGCGUUUGAUUAGCUAGUUGGUGGGGUAACGGCUCACCAAGGCGACGAUCGAUAGGUGGUUUGAGAGGACGAUCACCCAGACUGGGACUGAGACACGGCCCAGACUCCUACGGGAGGCAGCAGUUGGGAAUUUUGCGCAAUGGGGGAAACCCUGACGCAGCAAUACCGCGUGUGGGAUGAAGGCCUUCGGGUUGUAAACCACUUUUUUUGGGGACGAUAAUGACGGUACCCGAAGAAUAAGCCACGGCUAACUACGUG